RNAcentral lists this unclassified non-coding RNA (5659 nucleotides) under Hevea brasiliensis (rubber tree). Lineage: Eukaryota; Viridiplantae; Streptophyta; Magnoliopsida; Malpighiales; Euphorbiaceae. The record is from RNAcentral.
AUAUCAUAUCAGAUGAAAAGCCCAAUCAAAAUCCUAUACUAAGAGAAGCCAAUAGCUUCUUUAUCAUGCAACACAGAAAAACUCCGUCUUUGGCCAAAGUACUAAGGCCAUGACAUGCUAGAACUAGUGGUGUAAGCAGUAGAUAAGGAGUAAAGCCAUGGCAGUCAUGAGAACCAAAAUAGUGGAGCCAAUGAAGCAGCAGCUGCACCAUCGAAACACGAUGAGCAAUGAUGACUCAGAUUGCCUGACGUCCCACUCGCGCCUUACUGUCGCACCACUGACGAUCAGAAUUUUAGAGUUCACAUGACUCCGGUUUGUGGUGUAUGCAUAUGUGGUGAUGCUAGUAUUGCAACUCCAUCUAGGGAUUGGACUGUGAGGUUUUGGUCGCUUGACCCAUCAGAAGAGCGCAAGUAUUGGUCGUCAAGAAUCUUGUUUGGACAUUCAAGUUUUGUAGGUCCAUUGGCUUGGAUUCCACCAAAUGAAGAGUACCCAGAAGGUGGGAUUGGGUCUGGCGGCAUGGAAAUACUGGUUUCGUUUGGAACAAUUGCAAGUCAGUGGCAGUGCAUUGGAUAAUGGGGACAUUGUGUCAUCCUCUGUUGAUUGGCUAUUUCAUUUGGUUGGGACCACUGGUUAACUUGAUUGAAAAUUUUGACUAUGCUUCUGCUUUCGCUUAAUAUGUGACCUAUCAUCCUCUUUGGCUUUCUUCAUUGGAGUACUUUGACAUGAUGGAGGAAAAGCCAGGUAAUUGAGUCCUGGGGUUGGGAGGCUCAUAAGUCAGCUAUGCAGGCAGUUAUCUGGCGAGCUUGUUACAGGUUCAAGUGACGCCACUUUAAAACUUUGGAGAGGAAGGACAUGCGUUCGCACUUUUGUGGGGCAUACAGGCUAAGUUUUCUGCUUUUCUUUCAAACAUACUGUGUUACUGCUUCAUUGUAAUCAUGAAAUGAUCUGGUAAAAAAUGGGAUGCUAUAGUUCUUUCAUGCAAUUUUGAGGCAAUCAUAUAGCCUGUUAAGGGGCAGUAGUAAUGACAAAAGUGUGGACAUGAUUUUGUUAGAAGUUACUAUGAUGAGGUUAGUGAUUUUUAAUAACUUCAUUUACUAGUGCUUGAAAGGAAGUGAAGGCAUAUUUUUUCAGUUCUUAACGGACAUAAAAUUCGCUAUUCUCAGUUCUGCAUUGUUUAUAUUUUCUCUUUGUAUGUUUGGAAUUACCUUCCUUUUCACUUUUUAACUCUCUACAUAAGCUUUUAAGUUUUGAACAGAUUUUAUCAUAUAUCAUAUGGUUUAACGAUGUUUAUAGGGUUUAUAUACGUUUCUGUUGAUAUUUAGUAGUUUUCCAUGGCAACACUCAUGUUGUGCCCAAAUUAUGAUUUUGUUAAUGCUCACUGGAAGUUGGGUUACUAUGCAUUGGAUGAUGAUUGAUGCACUCUAAGUCUCUAACUUGCAACAAUAAGAGAGCUUCCUAAGUCUGCCAGGAGAUCUUGGUCAAAUGUUUAGGAUAGCUUGUAUGCUUAUAAUAAAUUACUCACGAACUUUAAGAAUUGUGCAGAUACGGUUUGGGGCUUAGCAGAGAUGCAUGGAUUGGGUGUUCUUUCUGCAUCACAUAAUGGUUCAAUCAGGUUAUGGGUGCUAGCAGGCCAAGUAUUGAUGGAGAUGGUUGGUCAUACUUCCAUUGUCUAUUCAGUUGAUUCCUAUAUGUCUGGACUUAUUUAGAUUGGCGGUGAAGAUUGUUUGACCAAGAUAUGGAAAGAUGGAGUUUGUGUUCAUAGCAUAGAGCAUCCUGGUUGUGUUUGGGAAUUGGGAAAGAAGAUGGUGACGUUGUGACGGCAUGUUCAGAUGAAGUUUUAUGUGUUUGGACAUCACAUCAGGAUAUGAUUGGAGAUCCACUAGAUCUUGAGUCAUGUGUUUCCCAACUCUCUCAAUGCAAGUUAAGCAGUUUUGAUUUAUUUUUAUGAGGAAGAGGGUUGGAGGACUGAAAUUGGAAGAUUUGCCAGGGCUAGAUGCUUUACAGAUUCCAGGAACUACUGAUGGCCAGACAAAAAUUGUCAGAGAAGGGGACAAUGGUGUAGCAUAUGCUUGGAAUUUGAGAGAGCAGAAGUGGGAUAAAAUUGGCGAAGUUGUUGAUGGACCGGAUGAUGGCAUGAAGCGACCUGUUCUUGAUGGAAUUGAAUAUGAUUAUGUAUUUGAUGUUGAUAUCGGAGAUGGUGAACCCAUUCGAAAGUUGCCAUAUAAUCGAUCAGAUAAUCCAUACUCUGUUGCUGAUAAGUGGCUCAUCAAAGAGAAUCUUCCUCUUUCCUAUCGUCAACAAAUUGUAGAUUUCAUACUCCAAAAUUCUGGACAAAGAAGCAUUGCUCUUGAUUCAUCAUUCCGUGACCCAUACACUGGUGCAAGUGCUUAUGUACCUGGGCAACCUUCUAACUUGUCUGGUAUGCAUCUAUUGAUUGAAAAUGAUUUCAACUUUUGCUUAGCUUCUGUGCACUUGGGAUUUAGCUGCAGUAAUAGAAGGGUGGGAUUGCUGAUUGCUCUAAUAUGUAUUUUCUUGUUUAUACAACAGCUGUAUCAGCAAAGCCCACUUUCAAGCAUAUCCCCAAGGUAAAGCCCUUAAUGCUACUAGAAAGAUUUGGGAUGUAUAAUGUAUUAACCAUUCUUUAGUUAUCCUGUGUGUGAGAUUUUCCAUGUUUUGCUUAAAUAGUGAUUAAGUCAAAGUUUUGUCCUCAAAUAAAGGGGGUGCCACAAUUUUGUCUUUGCUGGAGGGACCUGGAAAACAGGGUAAAAAUGGGUAAGGAGGCUCUUAAGGUGUGUAUCAGCAAGUAGUCUUCAAUGCAGAAGUCAGUGGAUCUGAUGUAGUGACAGAAAAUUGAAAAAAAAGUUGGGAGCAUUAGAAAGAUGAGAGAGAGAGAGAGAUAGAGGGGGAGGGACGGAGUUUGUGAGGGAGGCCCCCCUACCUUUAUCCUACCUUUGAUAUCUGGGAGAGGAAGUGUGCAUCAGGUGAAUCGUCUAGUUGAUGAAACAUUGGUGGAGAUCUGGGGGAUGUAGACCUUCUUUAUCUUGUCCAUGUUUUGUUUGUUUGUUUCCUCUGAACUUAUAUCAGGUCAGACCUGGCUCAGCAGUGUCAAGGUUUGACUUGGUGAGAUGAUUGAUGCUGCAGAUAUUUGCCAACUUGUGUUCAGGUUGGUUUACCUAAUUGAGUCUGGCUCAGACAGGCAAGUGAUCUUGCCAUGUAAUCGGGUCUACUUUGCUAUAUUUUCUGUGCCAUGUAGCGAACAGCCUUGGCCAGCCUAACUUUUGUUGAAACUGAACUGGCCAUACUUUAAUGUGGGCACUGUCUCGCAUGCUCUUAUUGGAGGCCAGUCUUUAUAUUUUAUCAGGGGGAGUAUAUUUUAUUAUUCUAAUAAUUUUUAAUCCUCUUCAGUUAGAAUGCAUGUAAUAUGGCAGAUACAAAGAUGCAUAUGUGCCUUAAUUGAGUUUACUUCUUGACUUUAGAUUUGUUGUGUCAUAUUCUGUGGUGCAUUACUUUUAUGGGUUAACUUCUAUGUUCUUGAAAAUUUGCUGAGAAUUCAGUUAUUAAGCCCUUGACAUUAAGGAAGUAUAGGAAGUAAGCAAGCUAGAUAUGAACUGGACAGGAUGUAGAAUAGUUAAUUUGAUUCGUCAACUAAAGAUGAGGGUUCCGUAUUUAACUAAUACGAGCAUGGUGCACUAGCGUUCUCUCCAUAUUAAUACUUUAUUUCUAUUGAUGCUGAGAUGCGAUAAGUUAAAUUUAUUGGUAGUGAUCUUAUUUAUCUUUUUUGAGAAUUUUGUUUCCAGAAAGGAAUGCUAGUUUUUGAUGGGGCUCAAUUUGAUGGGAUCCUGAAAAAGAUAAAUGAGUUCAAUGAUGCUCUUCUAUCUGAACCAGUAGGAUGUUCUGCACUUUUACUUCUGUUAAUUUUCUACUACAUCAUUGUGGCUUAUACUUACAUAAUUAGUUAAUUGAAUAUCUUUUGUUUCUUUUGAAGGACAAAAAGAACUUGUCCUUGUCAGAGCUUGACAUAUCCAGACUUGGUGCAAUUGUUAAAAUUUUAAAGGACACUUCCCAUUAUCAUACUAGUAAAUUUGCAGAUGUUGAAAUUGCUUUGCUGUUGAAAUUAAUGAAAUCUUGGCCGGUAGCAAUGCUAUUUCCGGGUCAGUGUACAGCACUUUUUAAGGCUUUUGAUCUGUGGACCUUUUCUUGAGGUCUUCUUCAUUAAAUUGUUCUUUCUGAUAUUUUAAUCUUGUGCUUUACGUGGUGUCUGGUGCUGUUGAAUGAACAAGUCUCGUUUGAGCAGUCAUUGAAUCAUUUAUGGCACACAGCUGAUGUAUUUAGGAUUUGAUAAUGAAACUCCCUUUGAACUUUGCCAAAGAGCAAAUUUGAAUUUCGUUAUCAUAAAGAUGAAGUUAUAUGUUCAGGGAUUUAGAAUCAAUUAAAUGGUUGAUAUAUAUCUGCUAUUUAUGUAAAAUGCUUUUCUUGUUGAUUACCAUUUAACUUAAAUGCAAAUUUAUUGUGUUUGGUUUUAGUGGUACCAAUUACAUAAUGGAUUGUUCCCCCUCCAUAUCCAUGAAAUUUACCCAAUUAAGUAUAUUGUACCUUUUUUACAGUUAUAGAUAUCCUGAGGAUGAUCGUCUUACACCCAGAUGGGGCGAGUGCACUUCUCAAGCAUGUUGAGGAUGGAAGCGGUACAGUGACAUGCCCAUAUUGUGUUUUGUUUUAUAAUGACAAGAUAUACUAAUGGAAGUGAUUAAGAGAGUUACAACAAAUUCUCCGCUGCCUCCGAACCUUUUAACCAGCAUUCGUGUGGUAACUAACCUAUUCAAGAAUUCAUGCUAUCACAACUGGCUACUAAGGCAUCGCAGUGAGAUUCUUGAUGCAUUUUCAAGUUGUUAUUCAUCAUCAAACAAGAAUUUGCAUUUGUCUUAUUCUACCUUGAUACUCAAUUAUGCUGUUCUGUUAAUAGAAAAAAAGGGUCAAGAAGGUCAAUCACAAGUUCUUUCAGCUGCUCUUGAGAUUGCAGAAGAGGAAAAUGUAGAAGUUGAUUCAAAAUUCCGGGUUUUAGUUGCCAUUGGAUCACUGAUGCUUGAUGGUCUGGUGAAGCAAAUAGCUUUGGACUUUGAUGUUGAGAACAUUGCCAGAAUAGCUAAGACUUCUAGAGAUGCCAAGAUUGCUGAAGUUGGAGCUGACAUUGAACUGUUAAUAAAACAGCAUUGAAUCUGUUUCCUGGUUGAGGUUUGUGUAACAAUCAACACUUAGCAGGAACUCAUGAAAGGAACUCAUAAAAAGAAAUUAACAGCAUGAAUUGUUGUUUUAACCUUCAGUUGGAAGAGGAAACCUGGUCAUGAUAUCUAGAGAUAUGCAAGACAACGUUGAUUUGCAGCAAGUUGAUCUAUUAUGCUUGCAACUUUCUGGAAUGUUUUGCUGGACUUCUAAGUGAAGGUGUAAUGUGGUUAAAAAGAAAAGAAUAUAGUUACAAUUGGAUCCUUCAAUUGUAUCAGACCUAUGGACAAAGGAAAGCAAUUGCUGAUGAAUUCUGAAAAUUAUUUAGUUUUUAGCUGAACAAUCAUGUUCCUUGAUCAAUUUCUGUAUGUACUGCUUUUAUGCUUGACGUUAGAGCCAAUUAAUUGAGUUGCUUUAUUAUAGUUGAAACUGGUUAGCCGGG